RNAcentral lists this ribosomal RNA (482 nucleotides) under uncultured bacterium. RNAcentral's name for it is "partial 16S ribosomal RNA". It matches the Rfam family "Bacterial small subunit ribosomal RNA", at positions 28 to 523 of the family's 1533-position model. The record is from RNAcentral.
GACGAACGCUGGCGGCGUGCUUAACACAUGCAAGUCGAACGAUGAAGCUGAAGCUUGCUCCGGUGGAUUAGUGGCGAACGGGUGAGUAACACGUGAGCAAUCUGCCCUUGACUCUGGGAUAACUGCGGGAAACUGUAGCUAAUACCGGAUACGAGGCUCGAAGGCAUCUUCGGGUCUGAAAGAAUUUCGGUCAAGGAUGAGCUCGCGGCCUAUCAGCUUGUUGGUGAGGUAAUGGCUCACCAAGGCGACGACGGGUAGCCGGCCUGAGAGGGUGACCGGCCACACUGGGACUGAGACACGGCCCAGACUCCUACGGGAGGCAGCAGUGGGGAGUAUUGCACAAUGGGCGAAAGCCUGAUGCAGCAACGCCGCGUGAGGGAUGAAGGCCUUCGGGUUGUAAACCUCUUUUAGCAGGGAAGAAGCGAAAGUGACGGUACCUGCAGAAAAAGCACCGGCUAACUACGUGCCAGCCGCCGCCGUAA